RNAcentral lists this transfer RNA (90 nucleotides) under bacterium. Its description in RNAcentral is "tRNA-Ser". It matches the Rfam family "tRNA". Rfam says of the family: Transfer RNA (tRNA) molecules are approximately 80 nucleotides in length. Their secondary structure includes four short double-helical elements and three loops (D, anti-codon, and T loops). Further hydrogen bonds mediate the characteristic L-shaped molecular structure. tRNAs have two regions of fundamental functional importance: the anti-codon, which is responsible for specific mRNA codon recognition, and the 3' end, to which the tRNAs corresponding amino acid is attached (by aminoacyl-tRNA synthetases). tRNAs cope with the degeneracy of the genetic code in two manners: having more than one tRNA (with a specific anti-codon) for a particular amino acid; and 'wobble' base-pairing, i.e. permitting non-standard base-pairing at the 3rd anti-codon position. RNAcentral also lists the same sequence under 1 other name. The record is from RNAcentral.
GGAGGGAUGGCAGAGUGGUCGAAUGCACUAGUCUUGAAAACUAGCAGGGUGGCAACAUCCUCCAGGGUUCGAAUCCCUGUCCCUCCGCCA